RNAcentral lists this ribosomal RNA (230 nucleotides) under uncultured bacterium. Its description in RNAcentral is "partial 16S ribosomal RNA". It matches the Rfam family "Bacterial small subunit ribosomal RNA", at positions 118 to 347 of the family's 1533-position model. The record is from RNAcentral.
UGAGUAACCUGCCCUGGACUUUGGGAUAACCCUCGGAAACGGGGGCUAAUACCGGAUAUGACGGCUCACCGCAUGGUGUGGUUGUGGAAAGUUUUUCGGUCUGGGAUGGGCUCGCGGCCUAUCAGCUUGGUGGUGGGGUGAUGGCCUACCAAGGCGACGACGGGUAGCCGGCCUGAGAGGGCGACCGGCCACACUGGGACUGAGACACGGCCCAGACUCCUACGGGAGCA